Molecule: ribosomal RNA, 549 nt
Filed under: uncultured bacterium
Lineage: Bacteria
Description: bacterial SSU rRNA
Rfam family: Bacterial small subunit ribosomal RNA
Source: RNAcentral
UGGGGAAUAUUGGACAAUGGGCGAAAGCCUGAUCCAGCCAUGCCGCGUGUGUGAAGAAGGCCUUUUGGUUGUAAAGCACUUUAAGUGGGGAGGAAAAGCUUAUGGUUAAUACCCAUAAGCCCUGACGUUACCCACAGAAUAAGCACCGGCUAACUCUGUGCCAGCAGCCGCGGUAAUACAGAGGGUGCAAGCGUUAAUCGGAAUUACUGGGCGUAAAGCGCGCGUAGGUGGUUAUUUAAGUCAGAUGUGAAAGCCCCGGGCUUAACCUGGGAACUGCAUCUGAUAUUGGAUAACUAGAGUAGGUGAGAGGGGAGUAGAAUUCCAGGUGUAGCGGUGAAAUGCGUAGAGAUCUGGAGGAAUACCGAUGGCGAAGGCAGCUCCCUGGCAUCAUACUGACACUGAGGUGCGAAAGCGUGGGUAGCAAACAGGAUUAGAUACCCUGGUAGUCCACGCCGUAAACGAUGUCUACCAGUCGUUGGGUCUUUUAAAGACUUAGUGACGCAGUUAACGCAAUAAGUAGACCGCCUGGGGAGUACGGCCGCAAGGUUA